RNAcentral lists this ribosomal RNA (253 nucleotides) under uncultured bacterium. RNAcentral describes it as "partial 16S ribosomal RNA". It matches the Rfam family "Bacterial small subunit ribosomal RNA", at positions 524 to 776 of the family's 1533-position model. The record is from RNAcentral.
UACGAAGGGGGCUAGCGUUGUUCGGAAUUACUGGGCGUAAAGGGCGCGUAGGCGGUAUAGUAAGUCAGAAGUGAAAGCCCUGGGCUCAACCCAGGAAUUGCUUUUGAAACUACUAUGCUAGAGGUCGAGAGAGGUGAGUGGAAUUCCCAGUGUAGAGGUAAAAUUCGUAGAUAUUGGGAGGAACACCAGUGGCGAAGGCGGCUCACUGGCUCGAUACUGACGCUGAGGCGCGAAAGCGUGGGGAGCAAACAGG